Molecule: non-coding RNA, 46 nt
Filed under: Trichobilharzia regenti
Lineage: Eukaryota; Metazoa; Platyhelminthes; Trematoda; Strigeidida; Schistosomatidae
Source: RNAcentral
AUCUAGCUGACGAUUCCCCAAAUAGGACGAAAUGCGCAUCCUGGAU